AUAAGUUGGCAUCCAUUGAGUAAAGGGAGAAACACCAAACGUCAAAUUAACAACUAUCUGGGAAACAACAAAAGACCACACCCGCAUUAAAGAAAAUCUAGCUAACAAGAAAACUAACCCUAAAUCAAAACCAAAAAAAACCAAAACAGGAACACAAAAGAACUCCUAUUCGAAUCAGAAAACCCAAGAGACCAAUUGUAAACUCUCGCAAAACUGCAUCACAGCAGCUGACAGAUAGAACAACAAUGCGCAUCCAAAGAGAGAAAAAAGUUUGGUAGCCAAAUUCGGAGUGAAAGGUGAAGGUUUCUGAAUUGACCAAACCCAAAAUACCCAAAUCAGGCAUUCUUUACCCAUUGCGUUCAGUCCAUCUCUACUAUCUUUUCCACCGUCGCCUCCUCGACCCAGAAUCUUGCCGAUUGAAACCGUCGACCCUCUUUUGCCAAGGAAUGCGCCGCACAGUUUGCAUUUCGUCGAAUAUGCAACAAAGAGUUCAAUCGCUUAAUGACAGUCAAGGAGUCGCCUUCCAUCUGUACCUUACGAAAGCCCAUAUCAAUUGCAAACCGGACAGCUUGUUCCCAUGCCCAAGCCUCAGCUAUAAACGCAUAUGCCACAUGAUCCACGGGGUAAGUACAUGCCUCCAUAAUCUGCCCCAAAUGAUUUUGUGCUAAGAUUCCUGAGAUAGCUGAGUGUGUUUUUGCAUUGUAAGAACUGUCAAAGUUAAUUUUAAUAAAACCUGGGUCAGGUGGUAUCUCCAAAUCUGUUGCUGAGUGUACUGUGAUAACCCUGACAGGACUGAUUUCCUCAAUUUCAUGUAGAUAACCGAAAAUAAACCCCACUAAUUCAUUCACUGUCUUUCGAACACCAUAAUGAACAAGUCGAUUCCUUGCAAAUCAGACCGCCCAUGGGGUAAUUGCCAAUAACUUCUUGGACUUCUCAUUUGCCACACGAAAAUUUUCAUCCAACCAGCAUCUGUAUUCUGGGAAAGAUGAGACAGGGGGAAGCAUAUGGUUUAACCCUUUUAUUAUUUGACAGGUGACCGACCAAAGUCUCAAUAGGUGAUCAACUGAUUCCAACCCAGCUUGGCACAUAGGGCAAAUUGUAGAAACAUGCAUAUUUUCUCUGUUUAGAUUGGCAUAUGUAGGAAUGUAAUCAUUGUAAAUUUUCCAAAAUGUAAUUUUUACCUUACCAGGAAACUGUAAAGCCCACAAUGCUGUAUAGGGCUAUUACUUUGGAGCAUGCUACUAGGAUAGGCAUCUGGUAUUCGUAAUUUGUCCAGUAGUGGUAAUUUAUAACCACUCUUGACUGUGUAAUCACCCAUACCCUCAUACUUCCAAACCAUCGUAUCUGCCUGCUUCGACUUGGUAAGUGGGAUAUUCAAGAUACAGUCAGCUUGGUCCCAAUCAGUGAUGGCACGGACGAUGUCUUCCUUCCAAGUACAGUGUCUCGAAGUGAUCAAUUGGUCCACCGUAGUGUAAUUGAUAUCAAUAUUGUGACAAUUAAUUCUACCAUCUCCAGGUCCGGGAAUCCAAGAGUCAUUCCAAAUGUUCACAACUGAUCCAAUACCUAUGCGCCAUCCUAUUCCUCUUUCAAUCGGCCCCCUAGCAGCCAGAAUACUCCUCUAGAAUUCGUCAGUAUUGCUCUAGAAGAAGCUGGCUUGGGCCUUAAACCAAUCUCAAUUUUAGGAUGGUGCGAGCUUUGAAGUUUGAAAGGUAAAAUGUUCCGAAGAAAAAGCGGGUGUUAACUAAAUUGUAAUACAAGUCUGUAAUUUCCAAUGAGUGAAAUCCUAUCUCAUUGAAAGGUUCUUCCAUGUGAAGAAAAUGAGAUAAUCUUGUAAUGCGGAUGGGACACAGUUCAAGUUACAAUAAACCCUAUUUAAUCCAAUUGAUUAAGUUCCACAA
This is a long non-coding RNA of Gossypium arboreum, 1898 nucleotides long. RefSeq lists it as uncharacterized. The transcript is spliced from 3 exons. The record is from RefSeq and is a predicted model, not a curated record. Lineage: Eukaryota; Viridiplantae; Streptophyta; Magnoliopsida; Malvales; Malvaceae.